AGGCUAACGAGAGGCUACAAAGUAAAGCCUCCUCACCGCAAAGCGGGACACGGAGGGCCUCGGUCCACGCCGAGUGAAGAACCGAAGCCCGGAGCCCAGAGAACCACAGAGGCCUUGAAAAAACGGAAAAAAGGCCGGCUUCCUCCCGCGUGAGCUCCGUCGCCCCGCCGGACUCCACCCGUUUCCGCUCAGGGUAACCGCAAAACCCUUCCCGCGCGGGAACUCGGCGGAGGAGGAGUCUUGGGUCCCGCCCUUCUGGCGGCGGUGCGCGUCC
Molecule: long non-coding RNA, 274 nt
Filed under: Mus pahari (shrew mouse)
Lineage: Eukaryota; Metazoa; Chordata; Mammalia; Rodentia; Muridae
Description: RIKEN cDNA D730045B01 gene (MGP_PahariEiJ_G0005411.1)
Source: RNAcentral